This is a long non-coding RNA of Cavia porcellus (domestic guinea pig), 1571 nucleotides long. RefSeq lists it as uncharacterized. The record is from RefSeq and is a predicted model, not a curated record. Lineage: Eukaryota; Metazoa; Chordata; Mammalia; Rodentia; Caviidae. The transcript has 2 exons.
CCACUGUAGGAGACAUGGAAGAAGAUGGUGACGGGGGAAGGAUGAAGGGAAGAGGAACAGGAAAGAUACUAAGCCUAUCAUGUCUGUUUGGUCCAGGGUCUUCUCAACCCCUUCCCAGAUACGGAAGGACCCUGAAAUGCAGAACCCUAUGAGGAUGGGCUCUGAUCAUGAGUCCAGGGCCCUCCUUGAUCAUCUUUCCUGACAAAGAGAUACCAGACCCACUCUGAGGACCCAAGGGAAGGAAGUCAGGGGGUUCAGCCCCAAGUCUCCUAUUCCACCGGAGUUCUGAGUGGGUAAGGCUGAGAGGAAAUCAGGUCAUGACCAAAUUAAUCUUUUUGUUGGGGACCAAAAUCAGGGGCACUUACCACUGAGCUACAUUUCCAGUCAUUUUUCUAAUUUUUGUCUUGAGACAGUCUUGUUAAAUUGCUCACACUGGCCUUGAACUUGUCCUACCUCCUCAGCCAGAGUGCUGGGAUUACAUGUGUGCAUCAGCAUGCUGGACCUAAAUUAAUCUUAACACGACAAUGCUCUGGUCAAGUUGCUCACCUGCUCCAAAACAUUCCAAGCUCUUCAGGACACUGUUCACAUUCAAACUAGCUCUGAAGACCACAGAAGAAAUGUUACUGCAGAUUCUUUUACAUUCCUUUCUCCUAAAUUCUCAGACCCACAGUCUCACUUAAAAGAGUUGGAUUCUUUUUUUUUUUUUUUGUCUUUUUCCUUUUUAUCGGUACCGGGGAUCGAACUCAUGACUGCCUGCUUACAAGAAAGAGCUGGAUUCUGAUAUACUUUGCAGUUUUCCUCCUUCCAUGAUCUGGUUUGCAUCAGUGCCUUCUGCUUGUGCUGACACUGGAUGCAUCUCAUCUCCCUUUCUGCAUAUUUAGAGGACAUUGAACCAACCCAUUGAUCUAGAGACAGAACAUUCUCCAAGCUGUUUAGUGAUAGAUUAGGGGAUAGGAGGAGACAAGUGAUGAAGUGCAUUGGCCUAGACAUGGCCUGUGGAGACAGGAAAGAAAUUUAGUGACACAGAUUCCAUAGUUUAGUCCUGGAGUCUGACAUUUCCUGCUGUGUGAUUUUGAGAACAUUCUUUUUUUGUAAAACAGGGAUAACUCUCUUCCAUUGAAUUUAGAAGCUACUAGAAAGGAAGAAUAAGUGAACUUUGGUGACCAAAUGGAUUCCGGAAAAGAGGGGGCCAGGAUAUGGGGCACUGAGAUUCCAACAGUGUAAAUAACAGGCUAAAUCACCAAGAGGACUGGUAUAAGGAAUGGUAGGGUCCAGGAUGAGGCUAAGGAGUAGUCUAAUAGAGAUAUUCAGGAAGCAGGUAGAAAGUCAGGAUUGCAUUCAGGAUUAUUUGUUAGCUUAUUCAUUUAUUCAUGUAGCCAGGGUACCUUAUUAAGCACCUACUAUGUGAUGCUACUGUUCAGUGACCUCAGGGGAACACUGCCAAUGUAGUUAAACUGUCAUGACUGAUAAUCACUGAUCAAUGAACACACACUUUGAGUAAUUUUUUUUUCUGUGUUUGUUUUAUACUGUCUUCGAAAACCCUUGCUCAGUAAAUAUUUGCUGACCAUGGA